GCAGCAGCCACGGUAAUACGAAGGGGGCUAGCGUUGCUCGGAAUCACUGGGCGUAAAGGGUGCGUAGGCGGGUUUCUAAGUCAGGGGUGAAAUCCUGGAGCUCAACUCCAGAACUGCCCUUGAUACUGGAAGUCUUGAGUAUGGGAGAGGUGAGUGGAACUGCGAGUGUAGAGGUGAAAUUCGUAGAUAUUCGCAAGAACACCAGUGGCGAAGGCGGCUCACUGGCCCAUAACUGACGCUGAGGCACGAAAGCGUGGGGAGCAAACAGGAUUAGAGACCCCGGUAGUCCCUGUCUCUUAUAA
RNAcentral lists this ribosomal RNA (302 nucleotides) under uncultured bacterium. Its description in RNAcentral is "partial 16S ribosomal RNA". It matches the Rfam family "Bacterial small subunit ribosomal RNA", at positions 508 to 809 of the family's 1533-position model. The record is from RNAcentral.